Long non-coding RNA from Spodoptera litura, 345 nucleotides. RefSeq lists it as uncharacterized. The record is from RefSeq and is a predicted model, not a curated record. Lineage: Eukaryota; Metazoa; Arthropoda; Insecta; Lepidoptera; Noctuidae.
UAUAAAACGUGGCGUUAAUAUUGCAUAGUUAUCAGUUCAAUUUGAAAAUUGCAACAAAAUAUCUUACAAUGAAAUUCUUUGCCUUCAUCACGAUGUUCGUGUGCGCCAUCUUGACCCUAGUCAGCGGUGAUGACGUACACCACAGACAGGUGCGCAGCCCAGUGCCCGUUGAUGAUGUAGCACCUGGCCACCAUCAUCACCACCACCACCACCACCAUUACGGAUACGGCUACGGAUACCACUGAUAUGGAAGUGAUUGGCUAUUGAUUGAUUUAAAGUUUCGUUAAGUUUAUGAUUGGGUUAUUGUUCAGUAUGAGGUAUAAUAAUAAAAUAUUUUGUAGUUAA